UCAAGCUACUAAGGGCAUACGGCGGAUGCCUAGGCGCCAUCAGCCGAUGAAGGACGCGGUAAGCUGCGAAAAGCUACGGGGAACUGCAAGCAAGUAUUGAUCCGUAGAUGUCCGAAUGGGGAAACCCACCUGCCGUCAUGGGCAGGUAUCCGAAAGGAAGGGAACCCGGGGAACUGAAACAUCUAAGUACCCGGAGGAAGAGAAAUCAAACGAGAUGCCCACAGUAGCGGCGAGCGAAGAGGGCAGAGGGCAAACCGGUGAGCUACGGCUCGCCGGGGUUGAGGACUGCAUUUAGUCUCAAUGGUCUAUCCGAACUACCUGGAAAGGUAGGCAAUACAGUGUAAAAGCCACGUAGGUUAAAGACCGGAGAGAUGAGCAGUAUCCAGAGUACCACGAGGCACGAGGAAUCUUGUGGGAAGCCGGGGGGACCACCCUCCAACCCUAAACACUGAAUGGCGACCGAUAGCGCAUAGUACCGUGAGGGAAAGGUGAAAAGAACCCCGGGAGGGGAGUGAAAGAGAACCUGAAACCGUAUGUCUACAAGCAGUCGGAGCGAAAGCGACGGCGUGCCUAUUGAAGAAUGAACCAACGAGUUACGUGCACUAGCGAGGUUAAGUGGAAGACACGGAGCCGAAGCGAAAGCGAGUCUUAAGAGGGCGGAUAGUUAGUGUACGUAGACCCGAAACCGCAGUGAUCUACCCAUGUCCAGGUUGAAGCGCAGGUAAAAUUGCGUGGAGGACCGAACCUGUGAGCGUUGAAAAGCUUUAGGAUGAGAUGUGGGUAGAGGUGAAAUUCCAAUCGAACGCGGAGAUAGCUGGUUCUCCCCGAAAUAGCUUUAGGGCUAGCCUCAAGUAGUAAGUAUAGGCGGUAGAGCACUGAUCGGGCUAGGGGCCAUAAAGGUUACCGAACCCUGUCAAACUCCGAAUGGUUAUACUGUAGAGCUUGGGAGUCAGACUACGAGUGAUAAGAUCCGUGGUCAAAAGGGAAACAGCCCAGACCACCAGCUAAGGUCCCCAAUGUCGUACUAAGUGGAAAAGGAUGUGGGGUCUCUAAAACAACCAGGAUGUUGGCUUAGAAGCAGCCACCAUUUAAAGAGUGCGUAAUAGCUCACUGGUCGAGAGACCCUGCGCCGAAGAUUACCGGGGCUAAAGUACGAAACCGAAGCUGUGGCUACGACAUAUGUCGUGGGGUAGGGGAGCGUUCUGUGAGGGCUGAAGUCGUUCUGUAAGGAACGGUGGACUUCACAGAAGUGAGAAUGUUGGUAUGAGUAGCGAAAAGAAUGGUGAGAAUCCAUUCCACCGAAAGCAUAAGGAUUCCUGGGCAACGAUCGUCGUCCCAGGGUAAGUCGGGACCUAAUCCGAGGCAUGGAGCGUAGGAGAUGGACAACUGGCAGAUAUUCCAGUACCGGUAAUGAUUGUUUGAGCGAUGGAGUGACACAGGAGGGCAGGCAGGCAGGAGAUUGGUUGUUCCUGUACAAGCGUGUAGGAUGGGACGCAGGCAAAUCCGCGUCCUGUGAGUCUGAGGCGUGAUGUGGAGGUUCCGGAAACGGAACUGAAGCUGCUGACCCCACACUGUCGAGAAAAGCUUCUAGUUAGAGAAUUACCGCCCGUACCGUAAACCGACACAGGUAUGCGGGGAGAGAAUCCUAAGGUGCGCGGGAGAACCCUCGUUAAGGAACUCGGCAAAAUGUACCCGUAACUUCGGGAUAAGGGUAGCCGCUGUUGUGAAGUCUGAACAGACGGAGCAUGAGGCGGUCGCAGAGAAGAGGCCCAAGCGACUGUUUACCACAAACACAGGUGCCUGCUAAAGAGAAAUCUGACGUAUAGGUGCUGACACCUGCCCAGUGCCGGAAGGUUAAGGAAGGAUGUCCGGAGCAAUCCAAAGCAUUCGACCGAAGCCCCGGUGAACGGCGGCCGUAACUAUAACGGUCCUAAGGUAGCGAAAUUCCUUGUCGGGUAAGUUCCGACCCGCACGAAAGGUGUAACGAUUUGGGCACUGUCUCAACGAGGGACCCGGUGAAAUUGAAGUACCUGUGAAGAUGCAGGUUACCCGCGACUGGACAGAAAGACCCCAUGGAGCUUUACUGUAACCUGACAUUGGGUUCUGAUACAUCACGUACAGGAUAGGUGGGAGGCAUGGAAGCGAGGACGCUAGUCUUCGUGGAGCCGCCGUUGGGAUACCACCCUUGAUGUAUCGGAAUUCUAACCGUAGGAGUAACGAAACUCGGGACAGUGUCAGGCGGGCAGUUUGACUGGGGCGGUCGCCUCCCAAAGAGUAACGGAGGCGCCCAAAGGUUCCCUCAGCGCGGCCGGAAAUCGCGCGAA
RNAcentral lists this ribosomal RNA (2324 nucleotides) under human gut metagenome. RNAcentral describes it as "bacterial LSU rRNA". It matches the Rfam family "Bacterial large subunit ribosomal RNA", at positions 3 to 2346 of the family's 2925-position model. The record is from RNAcentral.